Haemorhous mexicanus (house finch) is the source of this 1409-nucleotide long non-coding RNA. RefSeq lists it as uncharacterized. Lineage: Eukaryota; Metazoa; Chordata; Aves; Passeriformes; Fringillidae. The record is from RefSeq and is a predicted model, not a curated record. The transcript is spliced from 3 exons.
AGCUUCUGGGUCUCACCUGGGACAUGCAUAACAGUGCAGGGGUUGAAAAUGCACCCAUGGGAAUCAUCUUCCCAAGCACAUCCCUGCCCCUUUCCACCCUACUGUGGGUGGAGGAGAAUAAAGAGACCCCUGACCUUCUGGAGCUGGAAUCACCUAAUGUUGCUGCUGCAUUGGCCUGAGCAUCCCAUGAGUCACUUGUCCUUCUCCAGGGGGGUCCUCUCCCGACUCUGUUACCCACCCAUGCGCCAGCCAGCCAUGCUUACUCUCCUCUACCCAGGCUUCUCCUCAGGACCCUCAAGUGCACAGCCAGGAUUUUACAACCCCAGAGGGAAUGACACGCACAACAUCCAGAGGAUUUCAUAUCCCCUGAAAGGAGCUGGCUAAGUGACGGAUUCACAUGAAGAAGCAUGGGAUGAGCCUGCAGAAAGACAGAGGGACACAGGGCUCACCCAGGAAAGCGGAGGGGGACACGGUGCCAUUGCUCCGGGCCACCAUGACGCUGAUGCCCGUCUCCACAAAGGGCACGGAGAAAUCCACAAUCUCGGACCGCUCCUCAUUGAUGGUGAGGGAGCCGAUGGCCAUGUCUGCACGCUUGUAGUACACCUGGAAAAGGGGCAGGUAGAGGUCGUAGGAGAACUUCACUGCCUUGGCCAGCUUCUUCAGGAUGUCGAUGCAGAAACCUUUGCAGCACAGCUUCGUGUAAGGAUCCACAAGGCCAUCACCACUGGAAACACACCAGUAAAGAUGGGUUGGACCAAACAGAGAUGCUCUGAGCACCCUGGACACGUGCCAAGGGAGCGGUGGCCAGUCUUGCCAAGCUCCAUGUCCCUGCUCACCUCUGGGAGGAGUUGGUCUGCUUGCGGCAGGGCACGGUGUUGCGCACGCAGACCCCCGUGCUGGGGUCUGUGUUCUCCACGAUGACGAAGGGUCUCUCCUCCAGGGUGGCCACUGUCAGGUGGCGGUUAUCGACCACGGGCUGCAUGAAGGAGCCGUAGCGGGGCCACACCGGGUACUUCAUGUGGAUGAUGCCUUUAUCCCAUUUGCCCACCUGCCCCCAAGGGAGAGCGCAUGGUCACCCCAGUUAGGGGCUCUGGAGGUCCCGCAUGAUCCCAUAUCCAUCCUCCCACCCUUGGGGCUUAUUCCUUGUGAGCCCCAUCUCAGCAUCCCUUACCCCACACACUCAUGGACCCAGGGUGGGGUGUUUCCUCCUGAGCCCCAAGCUUCACACUCGGGUGAGCACAGACCUGGCCAAACUUUACCCAAAAUACUUUCAAACUACAAAAAACCCCUCCAUGCAUCUUGUUUCAGAUCUAGGUGUCAAGCUGCUGUUCUCCAGAAGUGGGAAUCUGCAUUUCUGACUUUUUUUGAACAUAUCAGCCAAAUUGCAAGGAAAAACUGCCAACUCCUGC